AAGUAAUUUAUAUCAGGUCUAGUCAUUCUUUUAGAUCAAAAUAUAGGAGUUGGCUUGUUCUGUGGUGCACAUGUUGUUGUAACAUGCUGAACAAUUCCCAACAAUAUCAAUGCUGUGAAAUAUCAUUUUAUUCAUUAUUUCAUUCGCCAUUUAUAAUGGUAGAAGAGCGAAAGAGUAAUUAAUGUAAUAGGAUUGCUAUGGUUGACCAAAAGUGUCAAACAAUAUCACCA
This 230-nucleotide long non-coding RNA is filed under the name Elaeis guineensis (African oil palm). RNAcentral describes it as "long non-coding RNA (EGUI_LNC008312)". Lineage: Eukaryota; Viridiplantae; Streptophyta; Magnoliopsida; Arecales; Arecaceae. The record is from RNAcentral.